GCGGCCAUGUGGUGGGUGGUGGGGCUGCCGGCUGCGGGCGGAGACGACGCGGAAAUGAACGUCCUCUCUCCCGUGUCCUCUUGGUCUCUCUCUCUGUAUCGGUCUCUCUCUCCUCGGUGAGGUUGGGCCGUUGGGGAGGCGGCUGGGCUAGAGAGAGAGGGAGGCAGCGCCACCGCCCCGAGCCUCUUUUUCUCGCCAAAAGUACUAUAAAAAUAUUCUAUAAUUUAAAACUAAAUAUAUUUUAUAUAAUUUAGAACACCAACAAAAUAUUAUGUUCCAACAUUAAAAUUUUAAGGUCGUUUGACACAGCUCUGCUCUCUUGAAGAAUCACUCCUGUCAAGCCAAACGAUAAAAAUCUAAAGUGCUUUAUGGUAUGAGUGAAGUCAAUCUAGUCUUUACUUUGUACUAUAAAGUGUGAGCCAAAAAACAUGUUUCACACCACUCCUGACCUGCUCUCCACUGUUUAACCCCUCCGAAAUCACUUCACAGCCUAUUUACCAAACGGGUUUCAUUAAAUAGAUUCACUUUCGGUAGAGAAUCACUUAGAAUCACUCUAUCAGAGAAUUAGCUCUCAGAGCUAGAUAAUCAUAGAGCGGAGCUCUACCAAACGAGCCCUUAAUUCUAGUUUAUAGGGCAACCCAUUAAGGUAUAGUAUAUUUGAGGCACUUGAGAGGGUGCACUAUAUGUUUUUACAAAAUUUUACAAAAUGAGUUAUUGUUGUAGUAUUUUUUCUGUGUAGAGUCUUAUAUUUCAAUUUGAGGUAGUUUGAGGUAUUGUUGGAAAUUUUCUUAGGGCUAGUUUGAUAACCCUAUUUUUUAAUAGAUUUUUAUUUUUACAAAGAAAAUUAGUUUAUUUUUUCUUGAAAAAUAGAAUUUACUUGAAAAAAUAAAGUUUCAAACUAGUCCCCACAUGCUGCUACGAGGAGUUUCUGGACAAGGAGAAUUUCGAGAAUACCGGACCAGUGUUGAUACUCGAUAGUGUUGUACUCUAACUAAAAAGCUACCGAUGGAAUUUCAGGGCAUCACACUAUUUUCUAUUUUUCAACAUUGACUCUAAAGUCUUAAAACAUGCUCGCGUUUCGGCCUCCCUCCGUGUUCUCGGGUACGACAUCCUCACAGCUGCCGACACGUCCACGCACCACGGACGCGAGCGAGACUCUAUCACGGACGUGAGGUUUUCGGACACGAAUUGUUUAUCCAAUCCAGCUUUAUCGUUCUCCCUUCCGCUAUCUCCUCACACGCCGCCGCCUGCCCGACUUCCGGAUCCGCUGCUCCCCUUCCCCUUUCGACCUCUUCCAGCCCGCUGCGGGGGAGCACGCACCAGCCGAGGUCGGCCGAUCACGCGACAGAGAUGGAGGCUCCGGCACCUAUGCUGGCUACCGCGGAUCUGGUGGCAAGGGGCGGAGGAUUGGGAGGCGGCGACUCGGCUGCGCCUGCGUGGCUUCCUGCUGUCUGCUUCUACUCGCCCUCGAGUUUCGGCCUAACAAAGGAACAAGGCCGCAGCUGAUGCCCCUGUAAAGGGAACGGAGUGCAGGCGACGCCGGGAGGAGAUGCGGUGGCCAUGUCUCUGAUCUGGGUGUUCAGGUACGGCUCGCUGAUCUUGAACCCACGCCCGCGUCGUCGGCUUCAUCGGGGACUACCAAAUCUGUUUGCCACUGUACGUCUGUCCGUGAAAUUUCGCCAUACCUCGUCGUACCCUUCCGCCAGUUCACCCAUGUUGUCCCAUAGACCCAUACGCAGCAGCUGCAGGAGAAGAUGUGGUGUGGUGCGUUCCCCUCCUCGUCGAAAUCGUCGUUGCACGGAUCUACAUCGUCUCCACACCUCUGCACUGUCGAGGCAUGGGCGCCGGAGCUGUUCUCCAGUCCACGGCAACAGGGAACGGAGAGAUCCGGGAGGCCUGCGCGACCGCUCCGGGCCGCCGGAAACACACGGCGGCGGCCGACAGGAAAAAAAGAACCUCGCUCACCUUGGCGUCGGCGGGGGCGUGUGCUGUGCCUGCGGCGGCAGGGGGGAGCGGCUGGUCCACCUGCAUCGGGUCCGCGGCGCCGGCGCCGUGGGCCCCACCCGGCAUGGCGGCCAUGUGGUGGGUGGUGGGGCUGCCGGCUGCGGGCGGAGACGACGCGGAAAUGAACGUCCUCUCUCCCGUGUCCUCUUGGUCUCUCUCUCUGUAUCGGUCUCUCUCUCCUCGGUGAGGUUGGGCCGUUGGGGAGGCGGCUGGGCUAGAGAGAGAGAGGGAGGCAGCGCCACCGCCCCGAGCCUCUUUUUCUCGCCAAAAGUACUAUAAAAAUAUUCUAUAAUUUAAAACUAAAUAUAUUUUAUAUAAUUUAGAACACCAACAAAAUAUUAUGUUCCAACAU
Molecule: long non-coding RNA, 2356 nt
Filed under: Zea mays
Lineage: Eukaryota; Viridiplantae; Streptophyta; Magnoliopsida; Poales; Poaceae
Description: long non-coding RNA (ZMAY_LNC002807)
Source: RNAcentral